RNAcentral lists this ribosomal RNA (499 nucleotides) under uncultured bacterium. RNAcentral describes it as "partial 16S ribosomal RNA". It matches the Rfam family "Bacterial small subunit ribosomal RNA", at positions 29 to 523 of the family's 1533-position model. The record is from RNAcentral.
AUUGAACGCUGGCGGAAUGCUUUACACAUGCAAGUCGAGCGGCAGCGCGGGGCAACCUGGCGGCGAGCGGCGAACGGGUGAGUAAUGCAUCGGAACAUGUCCAAGUCGUGGGGGAUAGCCCGGCGAAAGCCGGAUUAGUACCGCAUAAGCCCGGGAGGGGAAAGCAGGGGACCGCAAGGCCUUGCGCGAUUGGGUUGGCCGAUGUCCGAUUAGCUAGUUGGUGAGGUAAAGGCUUACCAAGGCGAUGAUCGGUAGCUGGUCUGAGAGGAUGAUCAGCCACACUGGGACUGAGACACGGCCCAGACUCCUACGGGAGGCAGCAGUGGGGAAUUUUGGACAAUGGGGGCAACCCUGAUCCAGCCAUUCCGCGUGAGUGAAGAAGGCCUUCGGGUUGUAAAGCUCUUUUGUCCGGAGCGAAACGGUACGGGUGAAUAUCCCGUGCUACUGACGGUACCGGAAGAAUAAGCACCGGCUAACUACGUGCCAGCCGCCGCAGUAA